RNAcentral lists this ribosomal RNA (403 nucleotides) under bacterium. Its description in RNAcentral is "partial 16S ribosomal RNA". It matches the Rfam family "Bacterial small subunit ribosomal RNA", at positions 355 to 776 of the family's 1533-position model. The record is from RNAcentral.
UGGGGAAUAUUGCACAAUGGGGGAAACCCUGAUGCAGCGACGCCGCGUGAACGAAGAAGGUAUUCGUAUCGUAAAGUUCUGUCCUAUGGGAAGAUAAUGACAGUACCAUAGAAGAAAGCUCCGGCUAAAUACGUGCCAGCAGCCGCGGUAAUACGUAUGGAGCGAGCGUUGUCCGGAAUUAUUGGGCGUAAAGGGUACGCAGGCGGUUUAAUAAGUCGAAUGUUAAAGAUCGGGGCUCAACCCCGCAAAGCAUUGGAAACUGAUAAACUUGAGUAGUGGAGAGGAAAGUGGAAUUCCUAGUGUAGUGGUGAAAGACGUUGAUAUUAGGAGGAAUACCAGUAGCGAAGGCGACUUUCUGGACACAAACUGUCACUGAGGUACGAAAGCGUGGGGAGCAAACAGG